UGUCUCUUUCACACGGAGGAUUUCCUCCCGUCCUUCUUCCCGCGAAAGAGGCCCAUUUAGUAAGGCGCCAGUAUUUGUGGAAGCAUCACGCCGCGCGUGGAAGCCGAUUUCGAUUUAGGCCCGUCUAUCAUGAAUAAUCUGAAUAUUUAAAGAAAAGUCGCCGUGUUCACAAAAAAUUUUGAACAUGCUAAAUUCGUCGAUUCCACCGCCUCGAAUCAUACAAAAAACUACAGGUUCAAAAGAUAAGAUGUUAACUCAGAUAUUAUUGAAAAACAGAAUAUUCCUUCAUGUAGUCCGCCAAAACAUGACGACACAAUAUCUUGAAAAAUUCAAUAA
This is a long non-coding RNA of Amyelois transitella, 336 nucleotides long. RefSeq lists it as uncharacterized. The transcript has 3 exons. NCBI's taxonomy places the organism in Eukaryota, Metazoa, Arthropoda, Insecta, Lepidoptera, Pyralidae. The record is from RefSeq and is a predicted model, not a curated record.